GACGAACGCUGGCGGCGUGCUUAACACAUGCAAGUCGAACGGAAAGGCCCUGCUUGCAGGGUACUCGAGUGGCGAACGGGUGAGUAACACGUGGGUGAUCUGCCCUGCACUUCGGGAUAAGCCUGGGAAACUGGGUCUAAUACCGGAUAGGAGCCAUUUUGAGUGUGAUGGUUGGAAAGUUUUUUCGGUGUAGGAUGAGCUCGCGGCCUAUCAGCUUGUUGGUGGGGUAAUGGCCUACCAAGGCGGCGACGGGUAGCCGGCCCGAGAGGGUGGACGGCCACAGUGGGACUGAGAUACGGCCCAGACCCCGACGGGAGGCAGCAGGGGGGAAUAUUGCACAAUGGGCGCAAGCCUGAUGCAGCGACGCCGCGGGGGGGAGGACGGCCUUCGGGUUGGAAACUCCUUUCGCUAGGGACGAAGCUUUUUGUGACGGUACCUAGAGAAGAAGCACCGGCUAACUACGUG
RNAcentral lists this ribosomal RNA (465 nucleotides) under uncultured bacterium. Its description in RNAcentral is "partial 16S ribosomal RNA". It matches the Rfam family "Bacterial small subunit ribosomal RNA", at positions 28 to 507 of the family's 1533-position model. The record is from RNAcentral.